UACGUAGGGGGCAAGCGUUGUCCGGAAUUAUUGGGCGUAAAGAGCUCGUAGGCGGCCUGUUGCGUCCGCUGUGAAAGCCCGGGGCUUAACCCCGGGUCGGCAGUGGAUACGGGCAGGCUAGAGGUAGGUAGGGGAGAAUGGAAUUCCCGGUGUAGCGGUGAAAUGCGCAGAUAUCGGGAGGAACACCAAUGGCGAAGGCAGCUCGCUGGGACGGUACUGACGCUGAGACGCGAAAGCGUGGGGAGCAAACAGG
This 253-nucleotide ribosomal RNA is filed under the name uncultured bacterium. RNAcentral describes it as "partial 16S ribosomal RNA". It matches the Rfam family "Bacterial small subunit ribosomal RNA", at positions 524 to 776 of the family's 1533-position model. The record is from RNAcentral.